Molecule: long non-coding RNA, 548 nt
Organism: Parus major (Great Tit)
Lineage: Eukaryota; Metazoa; Chordata; Aves; Passeriformes; Paridae
Exons: 2
Source: RefSeq, a predicted model, not a curated record
UCAGCGGCGGGAGCUGCCGGACCGUCCGCACCGCCGCCAACUUUGGGGAGAGCGAGCCCAGCGCGGAGCCGAAGCCGGGAGCGCCCCGCCAGAAGAAGGAGAAACUCGAGCGAUUCCGCAGCGCUGGAAGUUGCUCGCGGGUCCGGGUCGGUAACCAGACACGCGUGUCGCCCGAGGGCUGGCGGGGAGGAACUGAGCCAGACGGGGACACAAAGGAGGGGGGCAGCCCCAGACACGCCGUCCCCGCCCCGCGGCGGCAGCGCCCGGCACCGCCGAGACCCGGGCGGGGACGGCGAGGAGGGAGAGGAUGCCCCCGGUCCCCCCUUUUGUCUGGCUCCGGUGGCACCUGCGGGGGCGAGCGCUCGGCCGCCCCGCCCGCGGACCCUAUCGCGACCGGCGACGGAUUAGCGACAGUUGUGGUCGGAGAGGGGCGACACAGCCCCGGCCUCGGCGGUUUGGGUCUGUGGCCGUGCGGGGUUCGAGUCCAUGAGCCUCGUGUUAAUUAACAAAAUCAUUAAAAAUGAAAAAAAAAAACAAAACAAAACAAA